UUUUUUUUUUGAAAUGUCGCAAAUGUGAGAACAUUUCUUCACGAGCCAUCCCAGGCGCAUUCCCCCGGCUUCAGAGACCUGCAGGACGAGAGCAGAGCUAAGAGGUAACGUGAGCUAGCUCACAUCAGGCAGCAGGCAGCAGGCAGACCAACCAGAGGACAUGGGAGCAGCAGAGGGAGAGGAGCCUUCGGUCUCUCUGUGGAGGAAACACUGUGUGCUAAGGCUUCAAACAGCCACAUACACUAUAGACCAAUAGUGUAUGUAUUGAUCAUAUUUUGCUGAGAUACUCAAUGAACACU
Perca flavescens (yellow perch) is the source of this 299-nucleotide long non-coding RNA. RefSeq lists it as uncharacterized. Lineage: Eukaryota; Metazoa; Chordata; Actinopteri; Perciformes; Percidae. The transcript is spliced from 3 exons. The record is from RefSeq and is a predicted model, not a curated record.